UACCACCUCAAGUCCGAUGUGGGUUUGGUGUUUAAAAGCGCCGAUCCCCUCAUCUUCAGACUUGGAUUUGAGUGAUCCUAACACAUUCACUUUAUUUAUAUUGUGAAAGUGGCAGGCCACUUGAAAUGCAGGUGCGGCUGAACAUUCUUCUGAGCUAAAAGCAUAUUUAUUUAGUCUUGCUUCAUUGCUGGAUUAUUACUUUUUGCUGCAGCUAACAUAAAGGAAUGAAUGUUCUUGGCUGACUGAUGCAGGAAUUUAACAGAUCUUUUUUAUAGAGAACUGUGAA
Molecule: unclassified non-coding RNA, 286 nt
Filed under: uncultured Mortierella
Lineage: Eukaryota; Fungi; Mortierellomycota; Mortierellomycetes; Mortierellales; Mortierellaceae
Description: sequence contains ITS2
Source: RNAcentral